GCGCGAGUGAGCACUCUCCCCGUGUGCCCCCUCUUCAGCUCCCUUGUGCGCCGCGUAGUGAUGACGGAGCCGGAAGAUGAUGUCAUCUUCCGGCUCCGGUAUCAGUGCAGUGCGCGAGGGAGCUGAAGAGGGAGCACACAGUGGAGAGUGCUCCACAGGCGUU
Molecule: non-coding RNA, 163 nt
Organism: Pelobates cultripes (western spadefoot toad)
Lineage: Eukaryota; Metazoa; Chordata; Amphibia; Anura; Pelobatidae
Source: the annotation of a GenBank genome assembly